Molecule: transfer RNA, 42 nt
Filed under: Bavayia sauvagii
Lineage: Eukaryota; Metazoa; Chordata; Lepidosauria; Squamata; Diplodactylidae
Description: partial tRNA-Tyr
Source: RNAcentral
GCUGUAGUCCUGUUUACAUGGGUUUAAAUCCUGUUUCUAUCA